UGGGGAAUAUUGCACAAUGGGCGCAAGCCUGAUGCAGCCAUGCCGCGUGUAUGAAGAAGGACUUCGGGUUGUAAAGUACUUUCAGUCGGGAGGAAGGUGUCAAGGUUAAUAACCUUGGCAAUUGACGUUACCGACAGAAGAAGCACCGGCUAACUCCGUGCCAGCAGCCGCGGUAAUACGGAGGGUGCAAGCGUUAAUCGGAAUUACUGGGCGUAAAGCGCACGCAGGCGGUUGAUUGAGUCAGAUGUGAAAUCCCCGGGCUUAACCCGGGAAGUGCAUCUGAUACUGGUCAGCUAGAGUCUUGUAGAGGGGGGUAGAAUUCCAUGUGUAGCGGUGAAAUGCGUAGAGAUCUGGAGGAAUACCGGUGGCGAAGGCGGCCCCCUGGACAAAGACUGACGCUCAGGUGCGAAAGCGGGGGGAGCAAACAGG
Molecule: ribosomal RNA, 429 nt
Filed under: Chloroflexota bacterium
Lineage: Bacteria; Bacillati; Chloroflexota
Description: Chloroflexi bacterium partial 16S ribosomal RNA
Rfam family: Bacterial small subunit ribosomal RNA
Source: RNAcentral